UGGGGAAUAUUGGACAAUGGGGGCAACCCUGAUCCAGCAAUGCCGCGUGUGUGAAGAAGGUCUUCGGAUUGUAAAGCACUUUCGACGGGGACGAUGAUGACGGUACCCGUAGAAGAAGCCCCGGCUAACUUCGUGCCAGCAGCCGCGGUAAUACGAAGGGGGCUAGCGUUGCUCGGAAUGACUGGGCGUAAAGGGCGUGUAGGCGGUUUACACAGUCAGAUGUGAAAUCCCCGGGCUUAACCUGGGAGCUGCAUUUGAUACGUGUAGACUAGAGUGUGAGAGAGGGUUGUGGAAUUCCCAGUGUAGAGGUGAAAUUCGUAGAUAUUGGGAAGAACACCGGUGGCGAAGGCGGCAACCUGGCUCAUGACUGACGCUGAGGCGCGAAAGCGUGGGGAGCAAACAGGAUUAGAUACCCUGGUAGUCCACGCCUGUAAACGAUGUGUGCUAGAUGUUGG
RNAcentral lists this ribosomal RNA (455 nucleotides) under uncultured bacterium. RNAcentral describes it as "partial 16S ribosomal RNA". It matches the Rfam family "Bacterial small subunit ribosomal RNA", at positions 355 to 826 of the family's 1533-position model. The record is from RNAcentral.